UGGGGAAUUUUGGACAAUGGGGGAAACCCUGAUCCAGCCAUCCCGCGUGUGCGAUGAAGGCCUUCGGGUUGUAAAGCACUUUUGGCAGGAAAGAAACGUCAUGGGUUAAUACCCCGUGAAACUGACGGUACCUGCAGAAUAAGCACCGGCUAACUACGUGCCAGCAGCCGCGGUAAUACGUAGGGUGCAAGCGUUAAUCGGAAUUACUGGGCGUAAAGCGUGCGCAGGCGGUUCGGAAAGAAAGAUGUGAAAUCCCAGAGCUCAACUUUGGAACUGCAUGGUGAACUACCGGGCUAGAGUGCGUCAGAGGGAGGUGGAAUUCCGCGUGUAGCAGUGAAAUGCGUAGAUAUGCGGAGGAACACCGAUGGCGAAGGCAGCCUCCUGGGAUAACACUGACGCUCAUGCACGAAAGCGUGGGGAGCAAACAGG
RNAcentral lists this ribosomal RNA (429 nucleotides) under Acidobacteriota bacterium. Its description in RNAcentral is "Acidobacteria bacterium partial 16S ribosomal RNA". It matches the Rfam family "Bacterial small subunit ribosomal RNA", at positions 355 to 776 of the family's 1533-position model. Lineage: Bacteria; Pseudomonadati; Acidobacteriota. The record is from RNAcentral.